GGGACCACACAGCUGGCGUCCACACACCCAACCCACAGCUCAAAGAGGCAUGGACACACGGGCUUCCUGCCACUCACCCCUCAUUCCCAGCUAGGGGCACAGGCUGUCCUCCUGUUAACACUAAUGUCAGAGGUUCUCAGCACUAGGCUCU
Long non-coding RNA from Sapajus apella (tufted capuchin), 151 nucleotides. RefSeq lists it as uncharacterized. The transcript is spliced from 3 exons. The record is from RefSeq and is a predicted model, not a curated record. Lineage: Eukaryota; Metazoa; Chordata; Mammalia; Primates; Cebidae.